UACGUAGGGAGCGAGCGUUGUCCGGAUUUAUUGGGCGUAAAGAGCUCGUAGGCGGUUUGGCAAGUCGGAUGUGAAAGCUCCGGGCUCAACUCGGAGAUGCCAUUCGAUACUGCCAUGACUAGAGUCCGGUAGGGGGGUGUGGAAUUCCCAUGUAGCGGUGAAAUGCGCAGAUAUUGGGAGGAACACCAAUGGCGAAGGCAGCACCCUGGGCCGGUACUGACGCUGAGGAGCGAAAGCGUGGGGAGCAAACAGG
RNAcentral lists this ribosomal RNA (253 nucleotides) under uncultured bacterium. RNAcentral's name for it is "partial 16S ribosomal RNA". It matches the Rfam family "Bacterial small subunit ribosomal RNA", at positions 524 to 776 of the family's 1533-position model. The record is from RNAcentral.